RNAcentral lists this long non-coding RNA (1192 nucleotides) under Homo sapiens (human). Its description in RNAcentral is "HSALNT0402341". The record is from RNAcentral. Lineage: Eukaryota; Metazoa; Chordata; Mammalia; Primates; Hominidae.
UGGAAAUCGCCACUGCUGACCCAUGGGACGGGGCCAGGUGGAGACACACGGGUCACCCGGCCCUCCCUACAAGGGGGAGUGGGCGGGAGGAGGAGCGGGCACGAGGCCUGAAGGGCCAGACUCAGGAGCAGCCGGGAGACGCCAGCAGCCAGGGGCUGGGGCUGUUUCUUUCUCCUCUGCAAACUGAGCUGAGCUGUGGGCAGCCUCACCCCCACCUGUGAGAAAACAGCCUGGGGAAGGUAAAUGGCCUUCUGGGAGCCUUUGGAGUAAUCACCUUCCUGGGUGCCAGCCUCCUGAGGACGGCCUGAUCCAACAGGAGGGUGCCAACCUCAGCCAGUCUUGGCACUUCAGGGGGCCAAGGACGUGCUCGCCCGCAUCCAUCUGUCUGCCCUGCACGUCCAUCAGGGACCCCACAUGCCUCCUCCCGGUGACGACCCCCCGCCCACCCCACAAGACAUUCAGAGUGGAUUCGGCUUUCUGGAAGACACUGUGUGUUGUUGAGCAUUAAUUACUGGACACUUGGAAUAAUGUGUUCCGGGAAGUUUCACAGCUAUAUUUAGUCUGGCGGUUUUUCAAGCCAACUGACAUCUCCCUGAGCCUCAAAGGAGAAGAAUUGAGUGUCAGGCCCCAUCCUGGCGCUCGAUCUGCACCCAAGGCCAGCGCCAGCGUCCCGGGGCAGGGCCCUCCUGCUAGAGACCUGGUGUGUACUCGGUUUUCCUGUCUGUGAUGCUCAUGUCAACCUGUUGGUUCCAACUGCAACCCACCAGCGCCCCCAGCAUUCCUGCACCCAGGAGGCCGGUAUCUGAGGCUCUGCAGACUUCCCAGGGCCUCUGUCAGGGGUGCUGUGUGUCCUGUCCCAGGGCCCAGGUCGAGGUCUAACCAUUUUAAAUCUCCAUCUGAACAGCACUCACAGGGGACAGGAGCCCUCAGUAAACUCCUGUCGCAAACGACCCCUGCCAACUUCCUGUAUCUGUAGCCCGGCCCUAAAAAUAGUCUUGGGAUGGGGGCGGGGACUGUGUGAGGCAGGAUUUCACCUUGAGAAGGCACAGUGGGGGAAGACAGGAGCGACCAUUUCACACACUUGGGGGGGUGAGCUCAAGGCCUGGGCUCCCACCCUUGCACUGACCCUGGCAAGCUCACAACCUUAGGUUACCUGCCUUCCCUGAGCCUCAGUUUCCCCUCUUUGGGUCUC